Long non-coding RNA from Elaeis guineensis (African oil palm), 996 nucleotides. RefSeq lists it as uncharacterized. The record is from RefSeq and is a predicted model, not a curated record. NCBI's taxonomy places the organism in Eukaryota, Viridiplantae, Streptophyta, Magnoliopsida, Arecales, Arecaceae.
UUCUUUUCUUCCACCUUCUUCGCCUCUGUUUCCCUUCUUCCUUUGUUCAUUUCACCUUUUAUUUUCCAUUAAUUUUUAGAUUUUCAUGUACCUGCCUUUCAAAUCUCUUUUCCAAUUCUUGACUAUUUCGAUCAUAUAAUUCCAUAUGUUAUAUAUAUAUCUUUGUUCUCUUUUUCAACCGAUUCACUCCUGGGUUUCUUAUAAUUAGCUAAAUAGCUGCUUCAUUUAGUUUCCAAUAUGAGACUUUAAUUUCUGCGCGAUUGAUUACCUUCUAUUGUACCAUGCCAACACCUUUUAAUUCCAUGCUUGUCUUCAUGGUUUUCUUUUCUUUUUUCUUCAUGGUUAUCUUUUUAGCUUCAUUUUUUUCUACCCAUUUUUCUUUUUCUCAAUUUGGUCUGAUGAUCUUAGAUUAGUAGCGUUUUCCCACGGCUUUCUUGAACCAUGCGCUUGUUUGGAUUUCUUCUUUACCAUUUCUUGUACAGGGGAAGUUCCAAGAAAAGAGAAGAAAGGGGCAGAUCAUUUAGUAAGACGUGGGAAAACAUAGCAGGUGUUGGAAUUCCACUCCUCAUAUAAUUGCAUGUUUUCCACAGGCUUUCUUGAACAGCGAACUCAUUUAGGUUUCAGUUCUUACUCCAUCUUUCCCGCGAAAAGAAAAAGAAAAGGCACAGGAAAGGAGAUUCGGCAUGAAACAUAGUUACUGUUGGCUGUUGGACGAAACUGUUGGAAAAGAUGACAGAUCUUUUGGAGAAUUCCAUAUUAGCUUCUAUAUCAGGAAUUAGUGAGUUCUGGAUUCCUCUCUCUCUCUAAACAAUUACUUAGAGAAUCAUAGAUGGAGAUCAUACCAAUAUUAUGGACAUGUCUUCCACAUCUAUGAGAAUAUCAAUCUAUCUUCCAGAUCAAGUACUUGUGAUAUCUGCAAUCCUCUCUUGAUUUGUAAUUCAACAAUUUUUGGCUUUAUAUGAAGAAUGAUGGAGGAGAUGAUAACAAUUUUAUGGA